RNAcentral lists this ribosomal RNA (484 nucleotides) under uncultured bacterium. RNAcentral's name for it is "partial 16S ribosomal RNA". It matches the Rfam family "Bacterial small subunit ribosomal RNA", at positions 28 to 523 of the family's 1533-position model. The record is from RNAcentral.
GACGAACGCUGGCGGCGUGCUUAACACAUGCAAGUCGAACGAUGAACCCGGAGCUUGCUCCGGUGGAUUAGUGGCGAACGGGUGAGUAACACGUGAGUAACCUGCCCUUGACUCUGGGAUAACUGCGGGAAACUGUAGCUAAUACCGGAUACGACCCUCGGCGGCAUCGCCAGGGGGUGGAAAGAAUUUCGGUCAAGGAUGGACUCGCGGCCUAUCAGCUAGUUGGUGAGGUAACGGCUCACCAAGGCGACGACGGGUAGGCGGCCUGAGAGGGUGACCGGCAACACUGGGACUGAGAAACGGCCCAGACUCCUACGGGAGGCAGCAGGGGGGAAUAUUGCACAAUGGGCGCAAGCCUGAUGCAGCAACGCCGCGUGAGGGAUGACGGCCUUCGGGUUGUAAACCUCUUUUAGUAGGGAAGAAGCGAAAGUGACGGUACCUGCAGAAAAAGCACCGGCUAACUACGUGCCAGCCGCCGCAGUAA